RNAcentral lists this ribosomal RNA (493 nucleotides) under uncultured Escherichia sp. RNAcentral's name for it is "bacterial SSU rRNA". It matches the Rfam family "Bacterial small subunit ribosomal RNA", at positions 30 to 510 of the family's 1533-position model. Lineage: Bacteria; Pseudomonadati; Pseudomonadota; Gammaproteobacteria; Enterobacterales; Enterobacteriaceae. The record is from RNAcentral.
AUUGAACGCUGGCGGCAGGCCUAGCACAUGCAAGUCGAACGGUAACAGGAAGAAGCUUGCUUCUUUGCUGACGAGUGGCGGACGGGUGAGUAAUGUCUGGGAAACUGCCUGAUGGAGGGGGAUAACUACUGGAAACGGUAGCUAAUACCGCAUAACGUCGCAAGACCAAAGAGGGGGACCUUCGGGCCUCUUGCCAUCGGAUGUGCCCAGGUGGGAUUAGCUUGUUGGUGGGGUAACGGCUCACCAAGGCGACGAUCCCUAGCUGGUCUGAGAGGAUGACCAGCCACACUGGAACUGAGACACGGUCCAGACUCCUACGGGAGGCAGCAGUGGGGAAUAUUGCACAAUGGGCGCAAGCCUGAUGCAGCCAUGCCGCGUGUAUGAAGAAGGCCUUCGGGUUGUAAAGUACUUUCAGCGGGGAGGAAGGGAGUAAAGUUAAUACCUUUGCUCAUUGACGUUACCCGCAGAAGAAGCACCGGCUAACUCCGUGCCA